CUGGAACUGUGCAGCUUGCCCAAGGCCACACGGACUGGUUCUUUUCUUGGGACACACAGUGGGGAAAUUUAACUCCCAACUUUUCACGUGCUGACCUGUUCUGACUUUAUAUUUGGAUUUGAAUUGCUAAAUGAAAGAGGUGCUCCCUCUUCAGGACACAUUGGAGAACAAUAUGUUUCUAUGCUUCUGGAAGAAUGGGACAUUUUUAGCCCAAUUACUCCUCCUUUGGUAUGAACUCAAAUCAAAUUAUGUCAUGAAAUAAUCAGAUAACCAUGUCACAUCAACUCAGACUCUGCUGCAAUGUGCUUCCAGCCAAUUCGAUCCACAUGGCUAUUCUGCUUGUUGAAUCUCACUUGAGGUUCAAAACCGGGAAUGAUUUUGCUAUCUGUACUCCCCUUGCUAUCUGCACAUCAUUAAUAAAAUAGUCAACCAAAUAGUCUUAACUUUGUUCAUUAACAUGUAAUCAACCCAGAAGACAUAUUUAAAGUCUGUUUAAAGCUAAACCUGCAAAACAAGGCCUCACCAGUUUUACAGUGAUCUGCAUUGUGCCUCAUUUGAUCUCCUGAAAUCAUCCCCAAUUAGUAUCCACAAAGUAACCUGGCAACAUCUGAUAUUAAA
This is a non-coding RNA of Pogona vitticeps (central bearded dragon), 618 nucleotides long. The record is from RefSeq and is a predicted model, not a curated record. Lineage: Eukaryota; Metazoa; Chordata; Lepidosauria; Squamata; Agamidae.